ACAGAUUUGUCAGUGAAGAACUGUACAGCUGAGAUUAACCCUGAAAGUUCAAAAAAAGCAAAUGCCAACCCUACCACAGCAUCUACAGAUGUCACAACACACCAACACAAUACUGGAGCGGAAGACAAUGAAACUUCAACAUUUGAAACUUCAGGAGAUACAUCGGUGUCUACUCCAGGACACUGGACACAGACCAGUGGCGAACUGAGCACAGCGGACCACAAUGAGACCAACCAGACGCAUGAUCCAGACCAUACAGAGGAGUCCACAAGCUUACUACCUAAUGCAGACACCACAGGGACGGCAGUGGGCGAGAGAACGUCCAGGCAUGAAACAACAACAGCUUAUAAAACAGGACAUGUCAGCCCAAAUGACCGUUCUUCAGAGUCAGAUGUGACCAGAUCAUCAGGUUAGAAAGCUCUUUAUAAUAUA
This is a non-coding RNA of Pimephales promelas (fathead minnow), 432 nucleotides long. Lineage: Eukaryota; Metazoa; Chordata; Actinopteri; Cypriniformes; Leuciscidae. The record is from RefSeq and is a predicted model, not a curated record.